Molecule: long non-coding RNA, 1233 nt
Filed under: Mus musculus (house mouse)
Lineage: Eukaryota; Metazoa; Chordata; Mammalia; Rodentia; Muridae
Description: long non-coding RNA chr7:30026480-30027713
Source: RNAcentral
ACUUGUGUGGAGGCCAGGCCAGCGGUCAGGCUAAGGGGUCCUGCCUCAGGAGCCUUUGGCUUCAGUUUUCUGAUGCAGGGUCUCACAGGAGCUGGGAUUUACCAAUUAGGCUCAGCUAACUGGCCAGUGAACCCCAGGGAUCCACUUGCCUGUCUCCGUAGCACUGAAUUAAACGCAGGUGCACACAUCACCUGGCUUUAUUUUCGUGUGGGUUUUGGGGGUGUUUGGAGGUCAGGCCCUCGGCUUGCACAGCAGGUGCCUUACUGACUGGUCCAGCAUCCCACUGGCCAAAGACUUUUUAAAAGGCAGAAAUGAUAACUGAGUUUUAAUCUGCACUGGUAUAUUAAUAAACCUAUAUAGAAAUUUUAACUAUUCUUCUAAGAGGAGAACUUGCACAUUUUAUAGGAAUUAAAUAAAUAGAAGUUUUUUAGAGGGUGCUUUUAGUACUGAUUUCAGACUUGGAAGGAUAGCUUUUUAAUGUUCUGCUCCUAUAUACAUAUUUGUUAGACUUGACGGUCCUCUGACGAGUGUAUGCAUCAGGAUGCACCUCAAACCAAAAAUAUCCUACAGGGGUUUAUUUAGAGAAUGACAUGUGUACACUGUUAAGUGCUGAUAGUGGAUGCUGCAAUUCCGCUCUCUGGUUGAGAUGCACACGCAAGCUUAGACAUCUUGGUAACGGGUUGGGUGAGGAAGAGUGUAUUGAGUGGGAUUGUGCGCACACAGGGAUGCAGGCUCCUUUCCUCACGUGGUAAUGUCCUAAGGGGGGUGUUCUCGUCACUACUCACCGCUCUAACGAUCUCACCAUAGACAAGCCAUGUGUGUGCAGCCUCUUCUUCCCAGCAAAUGUUAGCUUCACCAUCAGCAAUGUGAGUUCGGGACACAAGCAUUACCUCAGGUUGCUGCCUGUUUCUAUAGGGCAGCUACUUUCCUGCCUUAGCAUAGUAGAAUUAAAAUGUACUUGGUGCUUUAUUGUUUCCAUGUGGAGCUCACCGCCAUCUCAGCAGGAACCAGUGUGUGUUUCUCAACUGUGUUAGCCAGGGCUGAAAAUGUGCCUUCUGUUUGCACUUCCUCGACUGCUAGGGAGGUGGAGCAUCUCCCUGGCCUGCAGGUCAUUUGAGCUUUGUUUCUGUGAAUUGUACAUUGCUAUCCGUCUCACUUUGUAGCACACCUAGGAGAUCAUAUUACACAUGGGCAAUUUGUUGUCUUCAUCUAGAAUAUGUCAUUUGCCCUUUU